CUGCAGCCAGUUAAGCCUACCUUUCCCCUAUGGGGCUUGGUAUGCAAUGGCUGCAAACAUAAGCCUCCUCGGUUGUAUAUGCAGCCAGUUGCUUGCAUGGGUUAUCAUAAGGGACCUACGAGACAGCC
Molecule: small nucleolar RNA, 128 nt
Organism: Talpa occidentalis (Iberian mole)
Lineage: Eukaryota; Metazoa; Chordata; Mammalia; Eulipotyphla; Talpidae
Product: small nucleolar RNA SNORA70
Exons: 1
Source: RefSeq, a predicted model, not a curated record